GUUCGAUCAUGGCUCAGAUUGAACGCUGGCGGGAUCUUCUUGUGCCAAGUCGAACUGGCGCUUUGGACUUCAGUCUGGUGGCGAGUGGCGAACGGGUGAGUAAUGUAUCGGAACGUGCCUAGUAGCGGGGGAUAACUACGCCGAAAGCGUAGCUAAUACCAUCGCCCUUCGGGGAAAGCGAGGGGACCUUCGGACUCACGCAUUGACGGCCGAUAUCAGGGUUAGCUAGUUGGUGGGUAACAGCUCGCCAGGCGACGAUCCGUAGCUGGAUUUGAGAGGACGACCAGCCACACUGGGACUGAGACCUGACCAGACUCCUACAGGAGGCAGCAGUGGGAAUUUUGGACAAUGGAAACCCUGAUCCAGCCAUCCCGCGUGUGCGAUGAAGGCCUUCGGGUUGUAAAGCACUUGGCGGAAAGAAACGGCCGCAGGAUAAUACGAUACGCUGACAGUACCUGCAGAAUAAGCACCGGCUAACUACAUUACUGUAGCCCAUGAUGACCGCCAGGUUGGUCAAUCAGAUUACUGAAUAUAAAGCGUGCGCAGAGCCGGUUUGGAAAGAAGAUGUGAAAUCCCAGAGCUUAACUUUGGAACUGCAUUUUAACUACCGAGCUAGAGUGUGUCAGAGGGAGGUGGAAUUCCCGCGUGUAGCAGUGAAAUGCGUAGAUAUGCGGAGGAACACCGAUGGCGAAGGCAGCCUCCUGGGAUAACACUGACGCUCAUGCACGAAAGCGUGGGGAGCAAACAGGAUUAGAUACCCUGGUAGUCCACGCCUAAACGAUAGCUGUUGGGGCCUUCGGGCCUUGGUAGCGCAGCUAACGCGUGAAGUUAGCCGCCUUGAGUACGGUCGCAAGAUUAAAACUCGAGAAUUGACAAGGACCCGCACAAGCGGUGGAUUGGUAUGGAUUAAUUCGAUGCAACGCGAAAAACCUUACCUACCCAGCAAGCAUAUGGAAUCCCGAAAGAGAUUUGGAGUAUCGCAAGAGAACCCGGAACACAGACUUUGUGGCUGUCGUCCAGCUCGUGUCGUGAGAUGUUGGGUUAAGUCCGCAACGAGCGCAACCCUUGUCGAUAGUUGCUACGAAAGGGCACUCUAAUGAGACUGCCGGUGACAAACCGGAGGAAGGUGAGGAUGACGUCAGAGUCCUCUAUGGCCCCCUUAUGGGUAGGGCUUCACACGUCAUACAAUGGUCGGGACAGAGGGUCGCCAACCGCGAGGGGGCCAAUCCCAGAAACCCGAUCGUAGUCCGGAUCGCGGUCUGGCUCGACGUGAAGUCGGAAUCGCUAGUAAUCGCGGAUCAGCAUGUCGCGGUGAAUACGUUCCCGGGUCUUGCCUACCGCCCGUCACACCGGCACAGGUGUUUUGCAGAAGUAGUUAGCCUAACCGUAAGGAGGGCGAUUACCACGGUAGGAUUCAUGACUGGGGGUGGAAAUCAAUAAGGGUAG
Molecule: ribosomal RNA, 1446 nt
Filed under: uncultured Bordetella sp.
Lineage: Bacteria; Pseudomonadati; Pseudomonadota; Betaproteobacteria; Burkholderiales; Alcaligenaceae
Description: partial 16S-23S ribosomal RNA intergenic spacer
Rfam family: Bacterial small subunit ribosomal RNA
Source: RNAcentral